RNAcentral lists this ribosomal RNA (253 nucleotides) under uncultured bacterium. RNAcentral describes it as "partial 16S ribosomal RNA". It matches the Rfam family "Bacterial small subunit ribosomal RNA", at positions 524 to 776 of the family's 1533-position model. The record is from RNAcentral.
UACGUAGGGGGCAAGCGUUGUCCGGAAUUAUUGGGCGUAAAGAGCGUGUAGGCGGCUAGAUAAGUCCGCUGUGAAAUCUCGAGGCUCAACUUCGAGCUGUCGGUGGAAACUAUCUGGCUAGAGUCCGGAAGAGGAGAAUGGAAUUCCUGGUGUAGCGGUGAAAUGCGCAGAUAUCAGGAAGAACACCCGUGGCGAAGGCGGUUCUCUGGGACGGUACUGACGCUGAGACGCGAAAGCGUGGGGAGCAAACAGG